Molecule: ribosomal RNA, 403 nt
Filed under: bacterium enrichment culture clone ALO1_GLFRUDD03GLLHG
Lineage: Bacteria
Description: bacterial SSU rRNA
Rfam family: Bacterial small subunit ribosomal RNA
Source: RNAcentral
GAGUUUGAUCUUGGCUCAGAUUGAACGCUGGCGGCAUGCCUUACACAUGCAAGUCGAACGGCAGCACGGGAGCUUGCUCCUGGUGGCGAGUGGCGAACGGGUGAGUAAUGCAUCGGAACGUAUCCUGGAGUGGGGGAUAACGUAGCGAAAGUUACGCUAAUACCGCAUAUUCUGUGAGCAGGAAAGCGGGGGACCUUCGGGCCUCGCGCUCUUGGAGCGGCCGAUGUCGGAUUAGCUAGUUGGUGAGGUAAAGGCUCACCAAGGCGACGAUCCGUAGCAGGUCUGAGAGGAUGAUCUGCCACACUGGAACUGAGACACGGUCCAGACUCCUACGGGAGGCAGCAGUGGGAUUUUGGACAAUGGGGGCAACCCUGAUCCAGCCAUGCCGCGUGAGUGAAGAAGG